RNAcentral lists this ribosomal RNA (502 nucleotides) under uncultured bacterium. Its description in RNAcentral is "partial 16S ribosomal RNA". It matches the Rfam family "Bacterial small subunit ribosomal RNA", at positions 30 to 523 of the family's 1533-position model. The record is from RNAcentral.
AUUGAACGCUGGCGGCAUGCCUUACACAUGCAAGUCGAACGGCAGCAUAGGAGCUUGCUCCUGAUGGCGAGUGGCGAACGGGUGAGUAAUAUAUCGGAACGUGCCCUAGAGUGGGGGAUAACUAGUCGAAAGACUAGCUAAUACCGCAUACGAUCUACGGAUGCAAGUGGGGGAUCGCAAGACCUCCUGCCGCUGGAGCGGCCGAUAGCUGAUUAGCUAGUUGGUGGGGUAAAAGCUCACCAAGGCGACGAUCAGUAGCUGGUCUGAGAGGACGACCAGCCACACUGGGACUGAGACACGGCCCAGACUCCUACGGGAGGCAGCAGUGGGGAAUUUUGGACAAUGGGGGCAACCCUGAUCCAGCAAUGCCGCGUGAGUGAAGAAGGCUUUCGGGUUGUAAAGCUCUUUUGUCAGGGAAGAAACGGUUCUGGAUAAUACCUGGGACUAAUGACGGUACCUGAAGAAUAAGCACCGGCUAACUACGUGCCAGCCGCCGCAGUAA